Molecule: ribosomal RNA, 498 nt
Filed under: uncultured bacterium
Lineage: Bacteria
Description: partial 16S ribosomal RNA
Rfam family: Bacterial small subunit ribosomal RNA
Source: RNAcentral
GACGAACGCUGGCGGCGUGCCUAAUACAUGCAAGUCGAGCGAAGUUUUUCUGGUGCUUGCACUAGAAAAACUUAGCGGCGAACGGGUGAGUAACACGUAAAGAACCUGCCUCAUAGACUGGGACAACUAUUGGAAACGAUAGCUAAUACCGGAUAACAGUAUUUCUCGCAUGAGAGAUAUUUAAAAGUUGGUUAUGCUAACACUAUGAGAUGGCUUUGCGGUGCAUUAGCUAGUUGGUGGGGUAAAGGCCCACCAAGGCGACGAUGCAUAGCCGACCUGAGAGGGUGAUCGGCCACACUGGGACUGAGACACGGCCCAGACUCCUACGGGAGGCAGCAGUAGGGUAUCUUCCGCAAUGGGCGAAAGCCUGACGGAGCAACGCCGCGUGAGUGAAGAAGGAUUUCGGUUCGUAAAGCUCUGUUGUUAGGGAAGAAUGGAUAUGUAGUAACUAUACAUGUAAGAGACGGUACCUAACCAGAAAGCCACGGCUAACUACGU